AAACGGCCUAGGCCACGGCUAAUCUAAACCGCUGCCCUCCCCAGCCAGCCCUGCGGCAGGGUGAAAACUGGGACCAAUUUGCUGCCUAAACCCUGAGGAUACAGCAAGUUUGAUUCUCGACCUUUAAGGACACCAGCUGCAAUUUGUUCCGCCGAAAAGAGCUUAGCGGUUCUGGCACAUUCUGACAAGAUACAUUUUAUAGGGUUUGUGCUCAAAUUUGAUAUUGGAAGUUAGGAUUCCAAUUUUAUGCCUCCAGUGAUAACAAUAGCAGCUGGGACCUUUAAGAAAUGUGUGUGUAUGCCUUCUAUUGAAGAGUUACAUAACAAAAGCUAUUUAUGUCAAACACCUUAUAAGGGAAAGAUUUAGCCUAAAUGUCAA
This 378-nucleotide long non-coding RNA is filed under the name Homo sapiens (human). RNAcentral describes it as "non-protein coding lnc-MTHFSD-62:5". The record is from RNAcentral. Lineage: Eukaryota; Metazoa; Chordata; Mammalia; Primates; Hominidae.